This 31-nucleotide non-coding RNA is filed under the name Homo sapiens (human). Lineage: Eukaryota; Metazoa; Chordata; Mammalia; Primates; Hominidae. The record is from RNAcentral.
AAACCAUCCCAGAAUCUGGAUGUGGCCCAGU